AGUCGAGCGGACAGAUGGGAGCUUGCUCCCUGAUGUUAGCGGCGGACGGGUGAGUAACACGUGGGUAACCUGCCUGUAAGACUGGGAUAACUCCGGGAAACCGGGGCUAAUACCGGAUGCUUGUUUGAACCGCAUGGUUCAAACAUAAAAGGUGGCUUCGGCUACCACUUACAGAUGGACCCGCGGCGCAUUAGCUAGUUGGUGAGGUAACGGCUCACCAAGGCAACGAUGCGUAGCCGACCUGAGAGGGUGAUCGGCCACACUGGGACUGAGACACGGCCCAGACUCCUACGGGAGGCAGCAGUAGGGAAUCUUCCGCAAUGGACGAAAGUCUGACGGAGCAACGCCGCGUGAGUGAUGAAGGUUUUCGGAUCGUAAAGCUCUGUUGUUAGGGAAGAACAAGUACCGUUCGAAUAGGGCGGUACCUUGACGGUACCUAACCAGAAAGCCACGGCUAACUACGUGCCAGCAGCCGCGGUAAUACGUAGGUGGCAAGCGUUGUCCGGAAUUAUUGGGCGUAAAGGGCUCGCAGGCGGUUUCUUAAGUCUGAUGUGAAAGCCCCCGGCUCAACCGGGGAGGGUCAUUGGAAACUGGGGAACUUGAGUGCAGAAGAGGAGAGUGGAAUUCCACGUGUAGCGGUGAAAUGCGUAGAGAUGUGGAGGAACACCAGUGGCGAAGGCGACUCUCUGGUCUGUAACUGACGCUGAGGAGCGAAAGCGUGGGGAGCGAACAGGAUUAGAUACCCUGGUAGUCCACGCCGUAAACGAUGAGUGCUAAGUGUUAGGGGGUUUCCGCCCCUUAGUGCUGCAGCUAACGCAUUAAGCACUCCGCC
This 832-nucleotide ribosomal RNA is filed under the name Bacillus amyloliquefaciens. RNAcentral's name for it is "bacterial SSU rRNA". It matches the Rfam family "Bacterial small subunit ribosomal RNA", at positions 60 to 873 of the family's 1533-position model. Lineage: Bacteria; Bacillati; Bacillota; Bacilli; Caryophanales; Bacillaceae. The record is from RNAcentral.